GUAUAAUCGACGUGUCUCAUGACCGCUCACCCUUACUCACUAUCCACAUACACUGCUGCCCUGUUCUUCAGCCUGGAGACCAGGCUCGUUGUGCCGUAUCCAGGUUAUCAAGUUCACUACAUAAACUCUAGUCUGUAUGAAUGAUACUGGAACGUAAAACAUAUA
This 165-nucleotide unclassified non-coding RNA is filed under the name soil metagenome. RNAcentral describes it as "partial internal transcribed spacer 1". The record is from RNAcentral.